AGCAGCCGCGGUAAUUCCAGCUCCAAUAGCGUAUAUUAAAGUUGUUGCGGUUAAAAAGCUCGUAGUUGAAUUUCGGGGUUAGUAAGUUGGUCAUGCCUCUGGUAUGAACUGGCUUUACUGAUUCCUCCUUCUUGAUGAACUGUAAUGUCAUUAAUUUGGUGUUGCAGGGAAUCAGGACUGUUACUUUGAAAAAUUAGAGUGUUUAAAGCAGGCAUACGCUUGAAUACAUUAGCAUGGAAUAAUGAAAUAGGACGUUUGAUCCUAUUUUGUUGGUUUCUAGGAUUGACGUAAUGAUUAAUAGGGAUAGUUGGGGGCAUUAGUAUUCAAUUGUCAGAGGUGAAAUUCUUGGAUUUAUUGAAGACUAACUACUGCGAAAGCAUUUGCCAAGGAUGUUUUCAUUAAUCAAGAACGAAAGUUAGGGGAUCGAAGACGAUCAGAUACCGUCGUAGUCUUAACCAUAAACUAUGCCGACUAGGGAUCGGAUGAUGUUAUUUUUAAUGACUCAUUCGGCGU
RNAcentral lists this ribosomal RNA (513 nucleotides) under uncultured Glomus. RNAcentral's name for it is "SSU rRNA". It matches the Rfam family "Eukaryotic small subunit ribosomal RNA", at positions 569 to 1086 of the family's 1831-position model. The record is from RNAcentral. Lineage: Eukaryota; Fungi; Glomeromycota; Glomeromycetes; Glomerales; Glomeraceae.